This is a non-coding RNA of Mauremys reevesii (Reeves's turtle), 318 nucleotides long. The record is from the annotation of a RefSeq genome assembly. Lineage: Eukaryota; Metazoa; Chordata; Testudines; Geoemydidae.
AUGGGGGCCCGUUCGCAGGUUGCUCUGACCCAGUUGGGUCCCGAAGUGAAGCAGCCCGGAGAAUCCACUCAGCUGAAAUGCGCCGUGAGCGGGUUUGUCCCUAACGACCGCUGGAUGGACUGGGUCAGGCAGCAGCCGGGAAAGGGCCUGGAGUGGCUGGUUCACUAUCGCCAAUCUUCAGUCACGAAUUUCUACGCCCCCUCCAUCCAGGAGCGAUUCACAGCCUCCACGGACAGCGCCAACUUCUACCUGCAAAUGACCGGCCUGAAAGCGGAGGACGCCGCCGUGUAUUACUGUGGGAGAUGCAAGACCACCUGA